CAGUCGCCACGGGAAUACGAAGGGUGCAAGCGUUACUCGGAAUUACUGGGCGUAAAGCGUGCGUAGGUGGUUGUUUAAGUCUGCUGUGAAAGCCCUGGGCUCAACCUGGGAAUUGCAGUGGAUACUGGGCGACUAGAGUAAGGUAGAGGAUAGUGGAAUUUCCGGUGUAGCAGUGAAAUGCGUAGAGAUCGGAAGGAACAUCUGUGGCGAAGGCGACUACCUGGGCCAACACUGACACUGAGGCACGAAAGCGUGGGGAGCAAACAGGAUUAGAUACCCCAGUAGUCCUGUCUCUUAUACA
RNAcentral lists this ribosomal RNA (301 nucleotides) under uncultured bacterium. RNAcentral describes it as "partial 16S ribosomal RNA". It matches the Rfam family "Bacterial small subunit ribosomal RNA", at positions 509 to 809 of the family's 1533-position model. The record is from RNAcentral.